UAGAUUACCUUGGUAGAAAUGCCAGAGCGUAGCAAGAAAAAGUUGAUGGCUUUGACCACUAAUGUGAAGAGAGAUGAUAGUGAUAAGGGCCUUGGAUUACAAGUUGUGAAAUAUUUGGCUGCCAAAUAUGAAGAGCUAGGGUGUGAAGUGAAAUGGAUGGGCAAGGCUGAUAAGGUGAUCUAGUCACAUUGGUCUGGUUACCGCUGUCAACUUCACUUCAUGUGAACCUUUAGCUUAAUACAUAUUUCUCUUGCACUUGACUACCAAGAUGAAUUUUGAGCAAGGCUAGUUUUUGCUUUGAAGCAAAGUUUGGUGUUGAAAUUUUGUAGAUUGUUGCUCAUAUGUUUCUAGGCUAGCCUUUGUAGGUUUUGGGGUUUUCUUUUGUGACAUAUGUUCAAUCAUGAAUUUGGAAAGAAAAUUAAUGGAAAGCCCCAAUUUUUGGAUGAUUAUGAAA
Rosa chinensis is the source of this 454-nucleotide long non-coding RNA. RefSeq lists it as uncharacterized. Lineage: Eukaryota; Viridiplantae; Streptophyta; Magnoliopsida; Rosales; Rosaceae. The transcript is spliced from 2 exons. The record is from RefSeq and is a predicted model, not a curated record.